This 71-nucleotide transfer RNA is filed under the name Loxodonta africana (African savanna elephant). It matches the Rfam family "tRNA". From Rfam's summary of the family: Transfer RNA (tRNA) molecules are approximately 80 nucleotides in length. The record is from Rfam by way of RNAcentral. Lineage: Eukaryota; Metazoa; Chordata; Mammalia; Proboscidea; Elephantidae.
ACGUUGGUGGUUCAGUGGUAGAGUUCUCACCUCCCACGCGGGAGACCCAGGUUGAAUUCCCAGCCAGUGUA